UUUCCGUAGGUGAACCUGCGGAAGGAUCAUUGCACACACGAUGCAGCAAACUAGCGAACUGUGUUUGUCCCCCGCCUACCCCAAACACGAGGGGCCGCAUCUGGAGGUGCGGCUGUCGACGGCAAGGUCCCGACCUACGGGUCCCCGCAGCGGGUCCCGCAAGCGGGCUGAUCAUGUCGCCGUCUGGGUGUCCCGCGCGGGCUCUCGCCUUGCCUUAGGGUUGGGCGACGCGGGCAUUCUCCCCCCUUCGAUGGCGUCGUCCCCUCCUCCGGGAGAGCGACACGCCUCGCGGGCCGUUAACAACUUUGCACCAUGUACGACACCGGUGACUGGGUAUACCUGUGUCCCGGUUCCGCUGCUGCACUCGGGUGGUGCUGGAUUGGUCCAUAGGAACAAGAUUAAAUAAAAACAACUCUCAGCAACGGAUAUCUUGGCUCUU
Molecule: unclassified non-coding RNA, 439 nt
Filed under: plant metagenome
Description: partial contains small subunit ribosomal RNA, internal transcribed spacer 1, and 5.8S ribosomal RNA
Source: RNAcentral